UUUAGUCUAUUUGAUGGCCAAAUUUCUAUAUGGAUAACUGUGGAAAUUCUAGAGCUAAUACAUGCGUAAAGACCCGACUUCGCGGAAGGGUUGUGUUUAUUAGAUACAGAACCAAUACCUUCGGGUUUUUGGAGGACUCAUAAUAAACGAACGGAGCGCGUUGGCACGAGCCGGCGCCAGAUCAUUCGAGAUUCUGACCUAUCAGCUUUCGACGGUAGUGUAUUGGACUACCGUGGCAUUGACGGGUAACGGAGAAUUAGGGUUCGAUUCCGGAGAGGGAGCCCGAGAAACGGCUACCACA
Molecule: ribosomal RNA, 301 nt
Filed under: uncultured eukaryote
Lineage: Eukaryota
Description: SSU rRNA
Rfam family: Eukaryotic small subunit ribosomal RNA
Source: RNAcentral